GGAGUCAUUCUACUAUUCUUGUUGUUUUUGUGUAUGUUUGAAAUUUUCUUAAAAUAGAAAGCUAAAAAUAGAAAUAACAAAUUUUAAUAAGAGGAGGGACAUCUCAACUUGUUUUUAUAUAGGUGAACAAUAGAAUAUUUAAAAUCUUUCAAAUUUAGGUUCACAAAAAUGCCUAAUAAAUGAUUUUUUGUUCAUUAAAUUAAAUAGCAAAUUUUAAAGAUGUACAUAUUGUAAGAAGAGCAUAACAAAACGGGUUAGAAGAAAACACUGGUGCAGAGAAUUCUCAAAGAAAAUAAUAUCAGAACUCCACAACAGCAAUGGUGAUGGUCAUCAUGACUUUUUCCUCUGACUACUCUAUUUUCCUGGUCAAAUGAAUGGCACUUUAUUUUCUAAUAACAAAAUACUAAGGAAGAAAGAUGAGAAGGGAAAGAAGUUUGAAAGCAGAGUUAUCAACAGAGAAAAUUAGCUGAGGGUGACAGAAAAGAGAAGAGCAGGAAACUAAAUCUCCCUAAAGAACCAGUAAUCAGAAUUAAAGAUCACAGAGGACCUUUAGAUCAAGAUGUAUGGCUUCCAAGAGAGCUUCUCUGGCCUAAAAUCAAGGUGAAGACCUGGAGUUUAACAAGUUCUUCUUUGUUGCUUGCUGGAGGCAUUAUCUUGCCAACCUGGGAGACAGCCAAGUUGGAAUUGCCAGGAACAAAAUAGAAACCUAGUGGUUGCUGAAACUGGGGAGGUUGCUCUCUUAUCUGUUGUGCAGGUAUUCCCAGGGUCUCAGCUUGCUGGGAACACUGGCUGACAUCUUCCAUUUGCAGUUGUUAGUUUCUUAAAGGAGUAAAAGUAAACAUUCAACUGUCCAAAUCUUGGUUAGUUGUCCACUUUAUUGCUUGGAUGUUUCUUUGGUGUUGGUUUAAGGUCAUGGUUUGCUUUUUGCUUCAUUUCAUUUUUAAAUGGUCAUUAAUUCUUUAGGUCACCUGGAAAAAAUUAAAAUCAAACUUUUUCAAUGACAAAGAGUCAAAAAAUAGGAAAUCAAGUUAUCUGUUGUGCAUUUAAUUCAAUAAUCAAAAUUUCAAAAGCUUUAAGCAAAAUGUAUAUACCUUGUACAGAUCUGUAAACUAUUUAUUAAUGUAAUGGUAACUGCUAAAUUUUUAAUAAUGUUUACAAAUCAGAAAGGCUGGUAUAUAAGAGCAAAAACUAUGAAAUUAUAUAAGAUGAAAUUACCAUAAUGAGGCUUUGUCAAACAUAUACCACUGUAACAUCAAUAACUCUUCCUAAUCAAAUAUUUUAAUGGCUACAACAUAUACCACAAUUAUUUAACCACUUCCCUAACACCAGACAGAUUAUAUGUAGGAGAAAUUAUUUUUCCCUCAAAUUUUCAUUUUUUUUUUGCAAAUACCUAGAAAUAAUAUUUAGAAAUAACUGAUUCAGAUGAUGACCAUGGAAAGUUCAAGCUACUCCGUAAAAGGCUACAACCACUUUUAUUGGUGUGAUAUAUACCUCUAAGUCAGCUCCUACAAACCUGAACAGGGAGCUUAUUUCUAGGAUAAAUUGUUCCUGCUUGUUACCCAGUGACAAAAUAAAAUGUCUUCAGCAUAGCA
Oryctolagus cuniculus (rabbit) is the source of this 1592-nucleotide long non-coding RNA. The record is from Ensembl. NCBI's taxonomy places the organism in Eukaryota, Metazoa, Chordata, Mammalia, Lagomorpha, Leporidae.